This 310-nucleotide unclassified non-coding RNA is filed under the name uncultured fungus. RNAcentral describes it as "partial contains small subunit ribosomal RNA, internal transcribed spacer 1, and 5.8S ribosomal RNA". The stretch from base 1 to 73 matches the Rfam family "Eukaryotic small subunit ribosomal RNA", at positions 1759 to 1831 of the family's 1831-position model. The record is from RNAcentral. Lineage: Eukaryota; Fungi.
UCAAACUUGGUCAUUUAGAGGAAGUAAAAGUCGUAACAAGGUUUCCGUAGGUGAACCUGCGGAAGGAUCAUUAAUGAGUUUACAAUGGAGUUGUUCUGGUCUUUCGGGGCAAGUGAACACUUCUCUCAUCCAUCUUACACCUGUGCACUAUUGGGGAAUACUUUUGGACUCAAGCUGGACAACGGCGGCGGUCUGGAGUAUUCUCAUUAUACCAAAUACCAAGUUUAGAAAGUCUUUUAUUUGCUUAAUGCAAUACAAUACAACUUUCAGCAACGGAUCUCUUGGCUCUCGCAUCGAUGAAGAACGCAGC